RNAcentral lists this transfer RNA (54 nucleotides) under Gongylonema pulchrum. RNAcentral describes it as "tRNA-Leu2". The record is from RNAcentral. Lineage: Eukaryota; Metazoa; Nematoda; Chromadorea; Rhabditida; Gongylonematidae.
GGCUUUUUAGUAUAAUAAGUAUAAUUAUUUUAAGCGUAAUUGGUUUUUGAGCUA